CGCGGCCUAUCAGCUUGUUGGUGGGGUGAUGGCCUACCAAGGCGGUGACGGGUAGCCGGCCUGAGAGGGCGACCGGCCACACUGGGACUGAGACACGGCCCAGACUCCUGCGGGAGGCAGCAGUGGGGAAUAUUGCGCAAUGGGCGGAAGCCUGACGCAGCGACGCCGCGUGGGGGAUGACGGCCUUCGGGUUGUAAACCCCUUUCACCAUCCACCAAGUUCCUGGUUUUUGCCGGGGGUGAGUGUAGGUGGGGAAGAAGCACCGGCUAACUACGUGCCAGCAGCCGCGGUAAUACGUAGGGUGCGAGCGUUGUCCGGAUUUAUUGGGCGUAAAGGGCUCGUAGGCGGCUUGUCGCGUCGGGAGUGAAAGCCCGCUGCUUAACGGCGGGUUGGCUUUCGGUACGGGCAGGCUGGAGUGUGGCAGGGGAGACUGGAAUUCCUGGCGUAGCGGUGGAAUGCGCAGAUAUCAGGAGGAACACCGGUGGCGAAGGCGGGUCUCUGGGCCAUUACUGACGCUGAGGAGCGAAAGCGUGGGGAGCGAACAGGAUUAGAUACCCUGGUAGUCCACGCCGUAAACGUUGGGCGCUAGGUGUGGGGCCUGUUUCCACGG
This 610-nucleotide ribosomal RNA is filed under the name uncultured Actinomycetes bacterium. RNAcentral describes it as "bacterial SSU rRNA". It matches the Rfam family "Bacterial small subunit ribosomal RNA", at positions 232 to 838 of the family's 1533-position model. Lineage: Bacteria; Bacillati; Actinomycetota; Actinomycetes. The record is from RNAcentral.